This 868-nucleotide ribosomal RNA is filed under the name Monanchora arbuscula. Its description in RNAcentral is "SSU rRNA". It matches the Rfam family "Eukaryotic small subunit ribosomal RNA", at positions 53 to 920 of the family's 1831-position model. The record is from RNAcentral. Lineage: Eukaryota; Metazoa; Porifera; Demospongiae; Poecilosclerida; Crambeidae.
GCAUGUCUAAGUAUAAACGCUUCUAUACUGUGAAACUGCGAAUGGCUCAUUAAAUCAGUUAUAGUUUAUUUGAUGGUUCCUUGCUACUUGGAUAACCGUAGUAAUUCUAGAGCUAAUACAUGCAGAAAGUCCCGACCUCUGGAAGGGAUGUAUUUAUUAGAUCCAAAACCGGCGCAGGUCCUCCGGGGCCUGGUUGCUUGGUGAUUCAUGAUAACUGCUCGAACCGUAUGGCCUCUCGCGCCGACGGUGCUUCAUUCAAAUUUCUGCCCUAUCAACUUUCGAUGGUACGGUAGUGGCCUACCAUGGUUGCAACGGGUGACGGAGAAUUAGGGUUCGGUUCCGGAGAGGGAGCCUGAGAAACGGCUACCACAUCCAAGGAAGGCAGCAGGCGCGCAAAUUACCCAAUCCCGACUCGGGGAGGUAGUGACAAUAAAUAACAAUGCCGGGCUAUCGUAGUCUGGCAAUUGGAAUGAGUACAAUCUAAAUCCCUUAACGAGGAACAAUUGGAGGGCAAGUCUGGUGCCAGCAGCCGCGGUAAUUCCAGCUCCAAUAGCGUAUAUUAAAGUUGUUGCAGUUAAAAAGCUCGUAGUUGGAUUUCGGGGCGGCCUGGUUGGUCCGUCGCAAGGCGAGUACUGGUCAGCCGCCCUUCCUCUCGAAAGCCCCGACUGCUCUUCACUGCAGUGGUCGGGUAGUUCGGGACGUUUACUUUGAAAAAAUUAGAGUGUUCAAGGCAGGCUUACGCCUGAAUACAUUAGCAUGGAAUAAUGGAAGAGGACCUCGGUCCUAUUUUGUUGGUUUCUGGGGCCGAAGUAAUGAUUAAGAGGGACAGUUGGGGGCAUUCGUAUUUAAUUGUCAGAGGUGAAAUUCU